RNAcentral lists this ribosomal RNA (641 nucleotides) under Actinomycetospora sp. I12A-02582. RNAcentral describes it as "bacterial SSU rRNA". It matches the Rfam family "Bacterial small subunit ribosomal RNA", at positions 91 to 733 of the family's 1533-position model. Lineage: Bacteria; Bacillati; Actinomycetota; Actinomycetes; Pseudonocardiales; Pseudonocardiaceae. RNAcentral also lists the same sequence under 1 other name. The record is from RNAcentral.
ACGAGCGGCGAACGGGUGAGUAACACGUGGGUGACCUGCCCUCCACUCCGGGAUAAGCCUGGGAAACCGGGUCUAAUACCGGAUAGGACCUCUGGGUGCAUGCCUGGUGGUGGAAAGUUUUUUCGGUGGGGGAUGGGCCCGCGGUCUAUCAGCUUGUUGGUGGGGUGAUGGCCUACCAAGGCGACGACGGAUAGCCGGCCUGAGAGGGUGAUCGGCCACACUGGGACUGAGACACGGCCCAGACUCCUACGGGAGGCAGCAGUGGGGAAUCUUGCGCAAUGGGCGGAAGCCUGACGCAGCAACGCCGCGUGAGGGAUGACGGCCUUCGGGUUGUAAACCUCUUUCGCGAUCGACGAAGGUCCGGUUUUUGCCGGGCUGACGGUAGGUCGAGAAGAAGCACCGGCCAACUACGUGCCAGCAGCCGCGGUAAUACGUAGGGUGCGAGCGUUGUCCGGAAUUAUUGGGCGUAAAGAGCUCGUAGGCGGUGUGUCGCGUCGGCCGUGAAAACCUGGGGCUCAACUCUGGGCGUGCGGUCGAUACGGGCAUCACUUGAGUUCGGCAGGGGAGACUGGAAUUCCUGGUGUAGCGGUGAAAUGCGCAGAUAUCAGGAGGAACACCGGUGGCGAAGGCGGGUCUCUGGG